RNAcentral lists this unclassified non-coding RNA (596 nucleotides) under Hevea brasiliensis (rubber tree). The record is from RNAcentral. Lineage: Eukaryota; Viridiplantae; Streptophyta; Magnoliopsida; Malpighiales; Euphorbiaceae.
AUGUAUGAUCAACUUUUGGAGAGUGUACUUGUUGGGCCUGUUAACGUUGGAAACUAUCGUUUUGUUUUGCAGGCAGACCCACCAGAUCCCUCAAAGAUUCGUGAAGAAGAUAUCAUUGGUGUGACAGUGUGUUGACCUGCUCCUAUCUGGGUCAAGAAUUUGUUAGAGUUGGCUACUAUGUUAACAAUGAUUAUGAAGAUGAGCAGCUGAGAGAGGAACCUCCCCCGAAAGUUUUAAUUGAUAAGAUUCAAAGAAACAUUCUGUCUGACAAGCCAAGGGUCACGAAGUUCCCCAUCAAUUUUUAUCCUGAGAACACUGAAGGUGCUGAGGAGCCUCCUUCACAUGAUCAACCCGCUGAAACUGAUGGAAAUGAAGAACAGUUACCUCCUACUCAGGACCAUUUUUCAGAUAAAGAGGGACCUUGAAUCUAAUGACCAUUUUACCAACUGGUGGCAUUGCAAGUUUCCCUUUCAAGUUCAUAUCAUGACAAUCAAUACAAGUGAUGCCGUAGGCAGAUAUUUGGAUAAACGGCAUCUGGGCAACUAGUUUUCAACUUUACGAAAUGUUGAGAGGAAGCGAUGGCGGUUACCCUGGGG